Molecule: ribosomal RNA, 253 nt
Filed under: uncultured bacterium
Lineage: Bacteria
Description: partial 16S ribosomal RNA
Rfam family: Bacterial small subunit ribosomal RNA
Source: RNAcentral
UACGUAGGGGGCAAGCGUUGUCCGGAAUCAUUGGGCGUAAAGAGCGUGUAGGCGGUUCGAUAAGUCGGCUGUGAAAGUCCAGGGCUCAACCCUGGGAUGCCGGUCGAAACUGUCGGACUAGAGUUCGGAAGAGGCGAGUGGAAUUCCCGGUGUAGCGGUGAAAUGCGCAGAUAUCGGGAGGAACACCAAUGGCGAAGGCAGCUCGCUGGGACGUUACUGACGCUGAGACGCGAAAGCGUGGGGAGCGAACAGG